AAGACUAUACUUUCAGGGAUUAUUUCUAUAGUUGGUUACUAGAAGAGUUUCUCUGAAUGUGUAGAGCACUGAAAACCAUAAGGAAGAGGCACAGUGUUCUCUCCUGAGUGUGAAGCCCACUCUUGGUGUUGCUUCACUACAACUACCAUUUUUUAUUGAUGAUCAUUCUCUUCCUUUCGUAGAGUAAGAGGGAGAAAAUGCAAUCUGAGUGGA
Prolemur simus (greater bamboo lemur) is the source of this 213-nucleotide small nucleolar RNA. Its record names the gene U3. It matches the Rfam family "Small nucleolar RNA U3". Rfam says of the family: Small nucleolar RNAs (snoRNAs) are involved in the processing and modification of rRNA in the nucleolus. The record is from Ensembl. NCBI's taxonomy places the organism in Eukaryota, Metazoa, Chordata, Mammalia, Primates, Lemuridae.